RNAcentral lists this ribosomal RNA (880 nucleotides) under Escherichia coli. Its description in RNAcentral is "partial 23S ribosomal RNA". It matches the Rfam family "Bacterial large subunit ribosomal RNA", at positions 419 to 1298 of the family's 2925-position model. Lineage: Bacteria; Pseudomonadati; Pseudomonadota; Gammaproteobacteria; Enterobacterales; Enterobacteriaceae. The record is from RNAcentral.
GGGACACGUGGUAUCCUGUCUGAAUAUGGGGGGACCAUCCUCCAAGGCUAAAUACUCCUGACUGACCGAUAGUGAACCAGUACCGUGAGGGAAAGGCGAAAAGAACCCCGGCGAGGGGAGUGAAAAAGAACCUGAAACCGUGUACGUACAAGCAGUGGGAGCACGCUUAGGCGUGUGACUGCGUACCUUUUGUAUAAUGGGUCAGCGACUUAUAUUCUGUAGCAAGGUUAACCGAAUAGGGGAGCCGAAGGGAAACCGAGUCUUAACUGGGCGUUAAGUUGCAGGGUAUAGACCCGAAACCCGGUGAUCUAGCCAUGGGCAGGUUGAAGGUUGGGUAACACUAACUGGAGGACCGAACCGACUAAUGUUGAAAAAUUAGCGGAUGACUUGUGGCUGGGGGUGAAAGGCCAAUCAAACCGGGAGAUAGCUGGUUCUCCCCGAAAGCUAUUUAGGUAGCGCCUCGUGAAUUCAUCUCCGGGGGUAGAGCACUGUUUCGGCAAGGGGGUCAUCCCGACUUACCAACCCGAUGCAAACUGCGAAUACCGGAGAAUGUUAUCACGGGAGACACACGGCGGGUGCUAACGUCCGUCGUGAAGAGGGAAACAACCCAGACCGCCAGCUAAGGUCCCAAAGUCAUGGUUAAGUGGGAAACGAUGUGGGAAGGCCCAGACAGCCAGGAUGUUGGCUUAGAAGCAGCCAUCAUUUAAAGAAAGCGUAAUAGCUCACUGGUCGAGUCGGCCUGCGCGGAAGAUGUAACGGGGCUAAACCAUGCACCGAAGCUGCGGCAGCGACGCUUAUGCGUUGUUGGGUAGGGGAGCGUUCUGUAAGCCUGCGAAGGUGUGCUGUGAGGCAUGCUGGAGGUAUCAGAAGUGCGAAUGCU